RNAcentral lists this signal recognition particle RNA (91 nucleotides) under Candidatus Melainabacteria bacterium. RNAcentral's name for it is "signal recognition particle sRNA small type". It matches the Rfam family "Bacterial small signal recognition particle RNA". Rfam says of the family: The signal recognition particle (SRP) is a universally conserved ribonucleoprotein involved in the co-translational targeting of proteins to membranes. Archaeal SRP consists of a 7S RNA and homologues of the eukaryotic SRP19 and SRP54 proteins. The record is from RNAcentral. Lineage: Bacteria; Bacillati; Candidatus Melainabacteria.
AACGCUGCGGGCGGUGAACGCUCGCGAACCUGGUCAGAUGGGAAACCAAGCAGCCAUAAGCAUUUUGCUUUCAGGUGCCUGCAGCACUCUU